AGUGAACGCUGGCGGUAGGCCUAACACAUGCAAGUCGAACGGCAGCACAGUAAGAGCUUGCUCUUACGGGUGGCGAGUGGCGGACGGGUGAGGAAUACAUCGGAAUCUACUUUUUCGUGGGGGAUAACGUAGGGAAACUUACGCUAAUACCGCAUACGACCUACGGGUGAAAGCAGGGGAUCUUCGGACCUUGCGCGAUUGAAUGAGCCGAUGUCGGAUUAGCUGGUUGGCGGGGUAAAGGCCCACCAAGGCGACGAUCCGUAGCUGGUCUGAGAGGCUGAUCAGCCACACUGGAACUGAGACACGGUCCAGACGCCUACGGGAGGCAGCAGUGGGGAAUAUUGGACAAUGGGCGCAAGCCUGAUCCAGCCAUACCGCGUGGGUGAAGAAGGCCUUCGGGUUGUAAAGCCCUUUUGUUGGGAAAGAAAAGCAGCAGGUUAAUACCCCGCUGUUCUGACGGUACCCAAAGAAUAAGCACCGGCUAACUUCGUG
This 492-nucleotide ribosomal RNA is filed under the name uncultured bacterium. RNAcentral describes it as "partial 16S ribosomal RNA". It matches the Rfam family "Bacterial small subunit ribosomal RNA", at positions 29 to 507 of the family's 1533-position model. The record is from RNAcentral.